GCCCAGCUAGCACAGUCGGCAGAGCAUGGGACUCUUAAUACCAGGGUCGUGGCUUUGAGCCCCAUGUUGGGUG
Tauraco erythrolophus (red-crested turaco) is the source of this 73-nucleotide non-coding RNA. The record is from Rfam. NCBI's taxonomy places the organism in Eukaryota, Metazoa, Chordata, Aves, Musophagiformes, Musophagidae.